Molecule: ribosomal RNA, 250 nt
Filed under: uncultured prokaryote
Description: partial 16S ribosomal RNA
Rfam family: Bacterial small subunit ribosomal RNA
Source: RNAcentral
UACGUAGGGGGCAAGCGUUAUCCGGAUUUACUGGGUGUAAAGGGAGCGUAGACGGUAAAGCAAGUUUGAAGUGAAAUGAUGGGGCUCAACCCCGUAACUGCUUUGAAAACUGUUUAACUAGAGUACCGGAGGGGCAGGCGGAAUUCCUGGUGUAGCGGUGAAAUGCGUAGAUAUCAGGAAGAACACCGGUGGCGAAGGCGGCCUGCUGGACGGAAACUGACGUUGAUGCUCGAAAGCGUGGGGAGCAAAC